CGGGGGGGGCGGCGUGCUUACCAUGCAGUCUGACGGGAAUGUCGGCUUCGGCUGACUAGUACCGUGGCGAACGGGUGAGUAACACGUGGGUAAUCUACCCUUGAGCUCGGGAUAACCUUGCGAAAGCGAGGCUAAUACCGGAUAAGACCACGCCCUGCAUGCAGGGUGCGGUCAAAGGUGGCCUCUUCUUGAAAGCUAUCACUUGAGGAUGAGCCCGCGGCCUAUUAGCUAGUUGGUGGGGUAAUGGCCUACCAAGGCGACGAUGGGUAGCCGGCCUGAGAGGGUGUACGGCCACACUGGCACUGAGACACGGGCCAGACUCCUACGGGAGGCAGCAGUGGGGAAUUUUGCGCAAUGGGGGAAACCCUGACGCAGCAACGCCGCGUGAGUGAUGAAGGCCUUCGGGUUGUAAAGCUCUUUUAGUGGGGAAGAAGCCCUCCCUGGCUAAUAUCCAGGGGGUCUGACGGUACCCACAGAAAAAGUUCCGGCUAACUACGUGCCAGCAGCCGCGGUAAUACGUAGGGAGCAAGCGUUGUUCGGAAUUAUUGGGCGUAAAGAGCGCGUAGGCGGUUUGGUAAGUCUGGUGUGAAAUCCCGGAGCUUAACUCCGGAACUGCAUUGGAUACUGCCAGGCUUGAGUGUGGGAGUGGAGAGUGGAAUUCCCAGUGUAGAGGUGAAAUUCGUAGAUAUUGGGAGGAACACCCGUGGCGAAGGCGGCUCUCUGGACCACAACUGACGCUGAGGCGCGAAAGCUAGGGGAGCAAACGGGAUUAGAUACCCCGGUAGUCCUAGCCGUAAACGAUGGGCACUAGGUGUUGGAGGUAUCGACCCCUCCAGUGCCGCAGCUAACGCAUUAAGUGCCCCGCCUGGGGAGUACGGUCGCAAGACUAAAACUCAAAGGAAUUGACGGGGGCCCGCACAAGCGGUGGAGCAUGUGGUUUAAUUCGACGCAACGCGAAGAACCUUACCUGGGCUUGACAUCCCUUGAAGUGCUGGAAACAGUACCGUCCUUUCGGGGACAGGAGACAGGUGCUGCAUGGCUGUCGUCAGCUCGUGUCGUGAGAUGUUGGGGUUAAGUCCCGCACGAGCGCACCCUUACUCUAGUUGCCAACGGUAAAGCCGGAACUCUAAGAAGAACUGCCGGUGAUAAACCCGGAGGAAGGGUGGAGGAUGAACGUUCAAG
Molecule: ribosomal RNA, 1182 nt
Filed under: uncultured bacterium
Lineage: Bacteria
Description: bacterial SSU rRNA
Rfam family: Bacterial small subunit ribosomal RNA
Source: RNAcentral